GUNNCCCCUCGUCCACCUGCCCUGGAGACUUGGACAACCCCGGGAAACUGGGAUUAAUCCGUGAUAGGUCAUCUCAUCUGGAAGGAGAGAUGGCUUAAAGGGAUGCGCGGGCUUCUUCUGCGUAUUUGCUCCAGGAUGGGACUGCGUCCGAUCAGGCUGUUGGCGGGGUAAUGGCCCACCAAGCCAGUAACCGGUACGGGCCUUGAGAGAGGUGGCCCGGAGAUGGACACUGAGAGAAGGGUCCAGGUCCUACGGGGCGCAGCAGGCGCGAAACCUUCGCAAUGCGCGCAAGCGUGACGAGGUUAAUCCGAGUGAUUUCCGCUGAGGAGACCUUUUGUCUGCUGUAAAUAGGCAGGCGAAUAAGGGGAGGGCAAGCCUGGUGUCAGCCGCCGCGGUAAUACCAGCUCCUCGAGUGGUCGGGGCGAUUAUUGGGCCUAAAGCAUCCGUAGCCGGUUCCGUAGGUCCUCUGUUAAAUCCAACCGCCCAACGGUUGACCUGCAGAGGAUACCGCGAGACU
Molecule: ribosomal RNA, 517 nt
Filed under: uncultured archaeon
Lineage: Archaea
Description: bacterial SSU rRNA
Rfam family: Archaeal small subunit ribosomal RNA
Source: RNAcentral